UGCUCCCUGAUGUUAGCGGCGGACGGGUGAGUAACACGUGGGUAACCUGCCUGUAAGACUGGGAUAACUCCGGGAAACCGGGGCUAAUACCGGAUGCUUGUUUGAACCGCAUGGUUCAAACAUAAAAGGUGGCUUCGGCUACCACUUACAGAUGGACCCGCGGCGCAUUAGCUAGUUGGUGAGGUAAUGGCUCACCAAGGCAACGAUGCGUAGCCGACCUGAGAGGGUGAUCGGCCACACUGGGACUGAGACACGGCCCAGACUCCUACGGGAGGCAGCAGUAGGGAAUCUUCCGCAAUGGACGAAAGUCUGACGGAGCAACGCCGCGUGAGUGAUGAAGGUUUUCGGAUCGUAAAGCUCUGUUGUUAGGGAAGAACAAGUACCGUUCGAAUAGGGCGGUACCUUGACGGUACCUAACCAGAAAGCCACGGCUAACUACGUGCCAGCAGCCGCGGUAAUACGUAGGUGGCAAGCGUUGUCCGGAAUUAUUGGGCGUAAAGGGCUCGCAGGCGGUUCCUUAAGUCUGAUGUGAAAGCCCCCGGCUCAACCGGGGAGGGUCAUUGGAAACUGGGGAACUUGAGUGCAGAAGAGGAGAGUGGAAUUCCACGUGUAGCGG
This 616-nucleotide ribosomal RNA is filed under the name Bacillus halotolerans. Its description in RNAcentral is "bacterial SSU rRNA". It matches the Rfam family "Bacterial small subunit ribosomal RNA", at positions 80 to 681 of the family's 1533-position model. The record is from RNAcentral. Lineage: Bacteria; Bacillati; Bacillota; Bacilli; Caryophanales; Bacillaceae.